RNAcentral lists this long non-coding RNA (430 nucleotides) under Homo sapiens (human). RNAcentral's name for it is "HSALNT0268628". Lineage: Eukaryota; Metazoa; Chordata; Mammalia; Primates; Hominidae. The record is from RNAcentral.
CUGGAACGUAGAUGUGACGGAGAAGCUAUAGCAGCUGUUUUGGACUUGACUGGAAGCUAUGGACUGAGGAUGACAACAGCUAGAUAGAAGGAACCCAGAUUUCCAGAAUGAGCUUACAGAACUAAACCUUCCCCAAAAGAGGCAAAUUUUAAAGCCUUGGCAAUGAGAAUGAAGAUUUUUUGAGACAAAGUUUCCGGGAGAAACAUAGCAUAUAGGCAAAUCCAGGGAUAGGAGAGAACAUGCAGACUUUGAGACACCUAAAGGAGUAGAGGGUGGCUGGACCGUAAAGGACAAUGGGGCAGCAGCAGGGAGAGCGGGGGCUUGGUUGGUGUCCAGGUGGAAGAUGAUGGCAGAGCUGGAGAGACGUGGGCACAGAUGGGGAAGGAAAGCAGGGACUCCUGAGGACCAGCCAGCUUCUGGCUUGAGCAAG